RNAcentral lists this ribosomal RNA (253 nucleotides) under uncultured bacterium. RNAcentral describes it as "partial 16S ribosomal RNA". It matches the Rfam family "Bacterial small subunit ribosomal RNA", at positions 524 to 776 of the family's 1533-position model. The record is from RNAcentral.
UACGAACUGUGCAAACGUUAUUCGGAAUCACUGGGCUUACAGGGUGCGUAGGCGGCUUGCUAAGUAGGGUGUGAAAGCCCCCAGCUUAACUGGGGAACUGCGCCCUAAACUGGCGAGCUGGAGUGAGAUAGGGGUGUGCGGAACUUCCGGUGGAGCGGUGAAAUGUGUUGAUAUCGGAAGGAACGCCGGUGGCGAAAGCGGCACACUGGAUCUCAACUGACGCUGAGGCACGAAAGCCAGGGUAGCGAACGGG